RNAcentral lists this ribosomal RNA (468 nucleotides) under uncultured bacterium. RNAcentral describes it as "partial 16S ribosomal RNA". It matches the Rfam family "Bacterial small subunit ribosomal RNA", at positions 28 to 507 of the family's 1533-position model. The record is from RNAcentral.
GACGAACGCUGGCGGCGUGCUUAACACAUGCAAGUCGAACGGAAAGGCCCUGCUUUUGUGGGGUGCUCGAGUGGCGAACGGGUGAGUAACACGUGAGUAACCUGCCCUUGACUUUGGGAUAUCUUCAGGAAACUGGGGCUAAUACCGGAUAGGAGCUCCUGCUGCAUGGUGGGGGUUGGAAAGUUUCGGCGGUUGGGGAUGGACUCGCGGCUUAUCAGCUUGUUGGUGGGGUAGUGGCUUACCAAGGCUUUGACGGGUAGCCGGCCUGGGAGGGUGACCGGCCACAUUGCGACUGAGAUACGGCCCAGACUCCUACGGGAGGCAGCAGUCGGGAAUAUUGCGCAAUGGGCGGAAGCCUGAUGCAGCAGCGCCGCGUGCGGGAUGACGGCCUUCGGGUUGUAAACCGCUUUCGCCUGUGCCGAAGCGUGCGUGACGGUAAUGGGUAAAGAAGCACCGGCUAACUACGUG